Molecule: ribosomal RNA, 292 nt
Filed under: uncultured bacterium
Lineage: Bacteria
Description: partial 16S ribosomal RNA
Rfam family: Bacterial small subunit ribosomal RNA
Source: RNAcentral
GUGUCAGCCGCCGCGGUAAUACGUAGGGUGCAAGCGUUGUCCGGAAUUAUUGGGCGUAAAGAGCUCGUAGGCGGUCUGUCACGUCGGAUGUGAAAACUCGGGGCUCAACCCCGAGCCUGCAUUCGAUACGGGCAGACUUGAGUUCGGCAGGGGAGACUGGAAUUCCUGGUGUAGCGGUGAAAUGCGCAGAUAUCAGGAGGAACACCGGUGGCGAAGGCGGGUCUCUGGGCCGAUACUGACGCUGAGGAGCGAAAGCGUGGGGAGCGAACAGGAUUAGAAACCCUCGUAGUCC